Solanum pennellii is the source of this 2971-nucleotide long non-coding RNA. RefSeq lists it as uncharacterized. The transcript is spliced from 3 exons. Lineage: Eukaryota; Viridiplantae; Streptophyta; Magnoliopsida; Solanales; Solanaceae. The record is from RefSeq and is a predicted model, not a curated record.
CUCAACCAUCCAUUCCAUUCUUUAAAACUCAACCCCACGUCUCAUCUUGAUUCAACGACUUAGAUUGAGUCUCGUACCACUUUCCUAUAUAAAUAUCCUAACAUCCUAACCCUAUUUUCAUUUUUACCCUCAUUCUCUUUGAAAAUGCCAGGCGCUUUUCCUCUAUCUCCUAACGUUGUCCAUCGCCGGCGAAACCACUAACAAAACCCCUACAACAUCCUCACUCACGGGGACAACCACCAAGCGAGACCCUCUCCUUCUCUCUCAUCACGACGCUUCUCCAAUCACAAGUGGAUAGCAUCCACUUCACCAUCCAAUCUAGUCUCCCCUCUCCUCCCCUUUCUCUUUCCCUUUGACUCUCUUCUCAUCCCCAUUUUCUUGUGAAGCUCCGCACUAUUAAACCUUUAUCUAUCUUUUGCUCUUCUUUUCGUUGGUUCUGACAAAACAUUCUUGCAAGAUAGCCACCACGAAGAGACAUUUGGUUUCUAUGAGUCAAGCCAACAAUCAUCCUUCCCCCAAUGAGAUCAACAACUAUGAUAACAAGAGCAUCGUUUCUCCGCCGCUCCUACCAGAGAGGACUUUCCGGAGUCUUAAGGUUUUUGGGGCUAAUGAAGUCGAAUCAUGACAGAUCCAUCCAGGAAUAGACAUACUCUCACCCCAUUGAAUAUUCUUUACACGUACACUAUACUGCAACGACAUUCCUUGAAAUUCAAUAAUGGCAAGUGGAGAAAUCAACGCGAGAAUCCAAGCUAAAGUGGAAUUGUCGUCACCCCAAAAGGGGUAUAGGUACAUUCAUGAAAUAAUGAAAAAACAGAUAAACUAUGGGUAACAUCUUUUAUGAAGCGCACAUAUAGCUCUACAAAAAUAAGGCAACUCGUUAUUUCCUCUCAUUAUAAUUUUAAAUCACCCAUUAGAAGUCUUAAAAACCUAAAAAAUUAUUAUUAACUUAUCAACAUACUUUCAUACAAUCUUAAUAUAAAUAGAAUAUACUUACAUUUUAGCUUCACGUGAUUUUUAACUAUCAAAAUAUUUUAUUUAGUGCUCUUGAAUAAUUUUUGUUGAAAGUAUUUUUCUCUUUGCUUAAGUAAUUUAAGAGAGUCAAUGAUUAAAAAGGGAAUAGAAGGUGUAACAUCGUAUUGGGCCCAUUUUAGCCUUGUCAUAUAUCUCUCUCUCUCUAGAAACUCUAACUUUAUAUGUUGUUGAUUUAUUUAAAUUUCAAUUUGCAUGAUAUAUUUUUAUUCUUUUGGUUUGGUAUCAAUCAAGUAAGUUUAUCAGUCCUUUCUUCUCGGUAUGUUUAUUUUAUUUAUAUAGUUUUUCCUUUAAUUCAUAUUAUCCAAACAUUUUAAGCAUUUUAUUAGAAGCGAUCAGGUCAAUCUCUCAUUCUUUAUUUGUUAAUAUUUCAAAUAUCUUAUUUAUGUGUUUGAAACUCGAAAACCAUGCUUUGGUUGAUUGAAUUCGUAAGUUUUGUACCUUCAUUAGCUCUGUAUGUUCCAUUUUUUAUUAACUUGCAUAGAUCGAAUUUGAUUGUAUAUAUAAAAAAAAGUUUCCAUGCCUAAAUAUCUUAUUCACCAAGGCUUAUAUUAAUUAGAUAAUAAUGGAUUCAUAUUAAUUUAUUCACCCUUAUCAAAUAUACUUUUAAUACUCUAUAUUUUAUAGUUAUCUUAUUUUCAAUGUUAAAUCCCCACAUAUUUCCCAAGAUCCUGUCAGGAUCCACAUUUAUGGACCUCGGAGGGUUCUUAAUACCUUUAUUUUAAAAUAACCUGAACCCUUACUCGGUCUAUGAUUUUGCAGAUUCUUUUAAUUAAUUUUUUUUGUAAUUAGGUUAAAAUAGUGUCCUAACGUGCCUUUAUUUCUUUCUGUAGCGACUUUUAUUAUUUUUAUUUGCCCUAAAAGAAUUUUCACUGUAACACUUCGAAAAUCCAAGGCUAGUCUUAAAGCCUAACAUCGGUACCAUGGGGUCUAAACACUGUUUGAAAUACCUAUUUCGAAUAUAGGUCAUUUAGGAAGUUUAGGAGCUAAAAACAUCCAAGAACGUCUAUGACAUCCGGAAAUUAGUUCUAGUGAGGUACUAGCGUGUCUAAGUCUAUUUGAAGAGCAUUUAGGAGUCAGGAAUCCAUGGAAAUUGGUGGAAGGAUAGUUAAUAAGUGUUUAAGUUAGUUCAUAGUCAAAAUGUUCGGGUAUAACUCCCCAAGGACCAACCAAGGGCCCUUAAAGAGGACCCUUGCACGUUGAUAUCAACACUGCCUGGGCAGUGUGCACCCACGAAGGGUCAAUCGACGGGGCAUGUGUUGAUCGACGGGGCUUCGAUGCCUACCGUCGACCAAAACUUAGCCAUUUUGUUGAAGGGGCUCGUCUGCACACUCUCUGAACUCAUCGAUGGACGUGCAGCACAGAAGGGGGGCUGGUCCGUCGAUUGAGCCACGAGGCAUCCACGGGGUUCCAUCUUUGAGUGACAUGUUUUUGCUGCACGUUUUAACUUUGUUCAAAACAAUUAGUUAAGGGGUUUAGUGGUUAUUUAGGGAAUAAGGGAAGACUAAUUAAAUAAAUUAACUCCCAUAUAAAGACCUCAACCUCAAUUAAUCUAAUUACAACUUUCAAAAAAAUAAACUCUCUUCCUUCUCUCUUCUUUCUCUCUCUAUUUGAAGACACCAUUGAAGACAAGCUAGGGGGAGCUUUUGGGGGCUGGGAAUGGACGAUUUCACCAUCAAAUCUUCAUCAAACGUUAAGGUUCCGGUUGUUGAAGGCUCAUUUCAGACGACUUGAUGAAGGAUUGGAUAUUCUCUAUCAUCCAAGUGGGUAGGUCCUGACUUUUUGAGGGCGAUGCCAAUAUAUUGCUUAUGCAGUUGCUUUGUUUUUCUAAGACUUUUAUGUUCAUUCCACUUUCAUUUGAGUACGACUUGUAUAAGCUUAUAUGUGGAUUCUUUACAUUUGAUGUAGGGCUAUGCCCAAAUUGUUGUGAUCGUUUAGAUGG